GACAUCAAUAACGAUUAAAAGGUUUAGCGGUUAUGGAUGGGGAUGCGUCUGAUUAGCUUGUUGGCGGGUAACGGCCCACCAAGGCUACGAUCAGUAGGGGUUCUGAGAGGAAGGUCCCCACAUUGGAACUGAGACACGGUCCAAACUCCUACGGGAGGCAGCAGUGAGGAAUAUUGGUCAAUGGGCGAGAGCCUGAACCAGCCAAGUAGCGUGCAGGAUGACGGCCCUAUGGGUUGUAAACUGCUUUUAUGUGGGAAUAAAGUGCGUGACGUGUCAUGCAUUGCAGGUACCACAUGAAUAAGGACCGGCUAAUUCCGUGCCAGCAGCCGCGGUAAAU
Molecule: ribosomal RNA, 337 nt
Filed under: uncultured Prevotella sp.
Lineage: Bacteria; Pseudomonadati; Bacteroidota; Bacteroidia; Bacteroidales; Prevotellaceae
Description: bacterial SSU rRNA
Rfam family: Bacterial small subunit ribosomal RNA
Source: RNAcentral